AACAAAGAAGUAAAAUUUACAUUUAGUUUCGACCUAAUAAUAAGAGUAAUUCUCAUGUUU
RNAcentral lists this transfer RNA (60 nucleotides) under Anatkina vespertinula. RNAcentral describes it as "tRNA-Arg". Lineage: Eukaryota; Metazoa; Arthropoda; Insecta; Hemiptera; Cicadellidae. The record is from RNAcentral.